ACAGCUCAAAUUUGAAAUCUGGCCCUUUUAGGGUCCGAGUUGUAAUUUGUAGAAGAUGCUUCGGGUGUGGCCCCGGUCUAAGUUCCUUGGAACAGGACGUCAUAGAGGGUGAGAAUCCCGUAUGUGACUGGUUGCCUUCGCCUAUGUGAAGCUCUUUCGACGAGUCGAGUUGUUUGGGAAUGCAGCUCUAAAUGGGAGGUAAAUUUCCUCUAAAGCUAAAUAUUGGCCAGAGACCGAUA
This 239-nucleotide ribosomal RNA is filed under the name Helotiaceae sp. RNAcentral describes it as "partial large subunit ribosomal RNA". It matches the Rfam family "Eukaryotic large subunit ribosomal RNA", at positions 104 to 339 of the family's 3401-position model. Lineage: Eukaryota; Fungi; Ascomycota; Leotiomycetes; Helotiales; Helotiaceae. The record is from RNAcentral.